CACGUAGUUAGCCGGUGCUUCUUUACCCAUUACCGUCACUCACGCUUCGUCACAGGCGAAAGCGGUUUACAACCCGAAGGCCGUCAUCCCGCACGCGGCGUUGCUGCAUCAGGCUUCCGCCCAUUGUGCAAUAUUCCCCACUGCUGCCUCCCGUAGGAGUCUAGGCCGUAUCUCAGUCCCAAUGUGGCCGGUCACCCUCUCAGGCCGGCUACCCGUCAAAGCCUUGGUAAGCCACUACCCCACCAACAAGCUGAUAAGCCGCGAGUCCAUCCCCAACCGCCGAAACUUUCCAACCCCCACCAUGCAGCAGGAGCUCCUAUCCGGUAUUAGCCCCAGUUUCCUGAAGUUAUCCCAAAGUCAAGGGCAGGUUACUCACGUGUUACUCACCCGUUCGCCACUCGAGCACCCCACAAAAGCAGGGCCUUUCCGUUCGACUUGCAUGUGUUAAGCACGCCGCCAGCGUUCGUCCUGAGCCAGGAUCAAACUCU
Molecule: ribosomal RNA, 488 nt
Filed under: uncultured Propionibacterium sp.
Lineage: Bacteria; Bacillati; Actinomycetota; Actinomycetes; Propionibacteriales; Propionibacteriaceae
Description: partial 16S ribosomal RNA
Source: RNAcentral